RNAcentral lists this ribosomal RNA (238 nucleotides) under uncultured bacterium. Its description in RNAcentral is "partial 16S ribosomal RNA". It matches the Rfam family "Bacterial small subunit ribosomal RNA", at positions 96 to 334 of the family's 1533-position model. The record is from RNAcentral.
CGGCGGACGGGUGAGUAACGCGUGGGUAACCUGCCUCAUACAGGGGGAUAACAGUUAGAAAUGACUGCUAAUACCGCAUAAGCGCACAGUACCACAUGGUACGGUGUGAAAAACUCCGGUGGUAUGAGAUGGACCCGCGUCUGAUUAGCUAGUUGGUGGGGUAACGGCCCACCAAGGCGACGAUCAGUAGCCGACCUGAGAGGGUGAUCGGCCACAUUGGGACUGAGACACGGCCCAA